AUCAGUGCCUCCCGACCCUUCUCUCGCCGGGCACAACAACCAUGGCGAUGGAUCUGCAGUGUCCGUAGCCGCUCCACCUCGGGUUCCCUGACCCUUCUUCUCUAUGCUGGGCGGAGCAACCAUGGCGGCGGAUCCGCAGCGUCCACGGCCGCUCCACCUCGGGCAGCGCGGAUCACGGCCAGCGGCCCGAUGGAGGCGGGUACCGGCGCGGUUGCUUUUCUGCCCUGCGCUCCCUCCAUGUCUCCUCCUGCGCCUCCGGUGGCCAGACGCCUCUUCCACUCCGACCUAGGGGCACCCUCAUCGUUGGCGGAUUUUAUAUUUCUCAGGUCAGCCAGUGUGCAGCCACACCUGGUCAACAUCCAGUUUCAGAAGAAUGUACAGCUGCAAGUAACCACGACGAGUAAACGAUCUUCCGUUGCCUUCCGCUCAAUUUUGUUUGGAUGAUUCCUUUCAUCGAGUCUUCGAUAAACCAAAUAGUUACUAGAGUAGUUAAUUAGGAGCCUAAUCAUGUGUAACUAUUGUGCAUCGAGUCUUCAAUAAACUAGAGCAGUUUCUACAUGCAAGAAGUAUCGAAUAGUAUUUGUUCUUGUUCCAUGGAGUAGCGAGCAAGAGAGAGAGAGAGAAAGUGAAAAUUGUUUGCAGGUUAUUAUAUACAGUGCUUGUUUCUCACAGUGUGCUUUUACCUGUGAUUAUAUAUCAUCCAUUAAUUAGUUCGGUUCAAUCUGGGCAUGCUUUUAGACUUAGAAUCGAUCUUGAUUUCCUCGUGCCACCUGUAUCUGUAUAUGUGCAGCGCAGGCGAAGUCGAAUGACAAGAACCAGCUAGAUGAGGGCAUCCAUUCGAAACACAUAUCUAAUCUUCUAUGUGUGGGAUCCUUUUUCUGAUCUGAAUUUGUUGUUGGGGCGAGCUUGUUACUCUCUACAUGGAUUUCAAGUUGGAUGAGAGCUACACGCUGAGCAAGAUCUCCAUCUGGACUGGCGACGGCUUCCACAAUCUCAAGGAAAUUCCUCUUUUCGGAAGAUAGCAGCGAGGUGCCCAGUAAGAGCACACACGUAUCUCUGAAUUAUAUGUUAUGAUCCGUGCUCUAUGGUGAGAGCACAUAUCAAUUGUUUUUGAACAAUACUCAGGAACACGAGAACUACCAGCAUCUUAUGGAUAUUCAUCAAAUAACAGUACAUCAGCCAAUGUGUAUGUGGUGGUCUAAACCAAAUGUUAGGCACAAAAUGAGGAUUAUGUGCACAGUUGGUCCCUCAACUAACACAAGGGAGAUUAUCUAGGAUUUUGCUGAGGAUGACAUCAAUGUGGCUCGGCUAAUAUGUCACAUGGAGACCAUGCAUCGCACCAGAAAGUUAUUGAAUUGGUGAAAGAGUUGAGACCAUGCUUGUAGACUCUUAUGGACGAGUCAAUUAUAAGUCUGGCAUGCGCAUGCAAGCACAUGAUUUUGCUCUAUCAAUACAUAGUGUAAUCAAACCCUUUUUAUGCCGACCCUUCUUUCAUCAUAUUCCAACUUAUUUGCUCUGAUAUAAGCUAGAUUUAACAUAUUCAGGGCCCAGAAAUUAGUAUUCAAGAUUUGCCUCAUUGAAAACUGGUCAGGAGUUCACGUUCACAAUAAGCAGUGAUCCUUUCUACUACUUGAGGGAUUGAGCAAAGAUUAUCAACGGUACAGUCAAAGAAGUAACGUUGAACAUGAAAAUAAGGCACUCUGCCAGUGUGCGUGCAUGAUCCAAUAUCAUGUGUUUAAUAGUAGCCACUAUUAUGUGGAAUAGUAGCAGCUUCCUCCAUUUAUGCCAAUAUUUGAUAUACUUACCAAAGUUUUAAGGGGGGCAAUCUUAAGAAGACAUCCCAUUUUGUGCGAGAAUUUCAUACGCAUAUUAGACAAAAGAUGUAUCGGGUUUUCCUUAGGUUGCAUUGCAACACUUCAGUGUCUGCUCUUGGUUCUUUUACCAUAAAAUUUGUAAGGUCCCUUAUGUUUGAUUUAUUGUAUAAAUCAUUUGAGACAUGCCCUGCAUGCAUGAUUACUCACUAUAUUUAUGUUCAUGUGAUAUUAUGUUCCUGAAUC
This is a long non-coding RNA of Triticum aestivum (bread wheat), 2057 nucleotides long. RefSeq lists it as uncharacterized. The record is from RefSeq and is a predicted model, not a curated record. The transcript is spliced from 4 exons. Lineage: Eukaryota; Viridiplantae; Streptophyta; Magnoliopsida; Poales; Poaceae.